AUCAAUAAGCGGAGGAAAAGAAACCAACAGGGAUUGCCUCAGUAACGGCGAGUGAAGCGGCAACAGCUCAAAUUUGAAAUCUGGCCCCCCGGGUCCGAGUUGUAAUUUGCAGAGGAUGCUUUUGGCGCGGUGCCUUCCGAGUUCCCUGGAACGGGACGCCAUAGAGGGUGAGAGCCCCGUACGGUUGGACACCAAGCCUGUGUAAAGCUCCUUCGACGAGUCGAGUAGUUUGGGAAUGCUGCUCAAAAUGGGAGGUAUAUUUCUUCUAAAGCUAAAUACCGGCCAGAGACCGAUAGCGCACAAGUAGAGUGAUCGAAAGAUGAAAAGCACUUUGAAAAGAGGGUUAAACAGCACGUGAAAUUGUUAAAAGGGAAGCGCUUGUGACCAGACUUGCGCCCGGUGAAUCACCCAGCUCUCGCGGCUGGGGCACUUUGCCGGCUCAGGCCAGCAUCAGCUCGCCGUCGGGGACAAAAGCUUCGGGAACGUAGCUCUCUUCGGGGAGUGUUAUAGCCCGCUGCACAAUACCCUUCGGCGGGCUGAGGUACGCGCUCCGCAAGGAUGCUGGCGUAAUGGUCAUCAGCGACCCGUCUUGAAACACGGACCAAGGAGUCAACCUUAUGUGCG
RNAcentral lists this ribosomal RNA (624 nucleotides) under Colletotrichum gloeosporioides. RNAcentral's name for it is "LSU rRNA". It matches the Rfam family "Eukaryotic large subunit ribosomal RNA", at positions 42 to 688 of the family's 3401-position model. The record is from RNAcentral. Lineage: Eukaryota; Fungi; Ascomycota; Sordariomycetes; Glomerellales; Glomerellaceae.